GGAGCGGCGCGGGGCGGGGACGGCCUGGCAGCUCCCAGCAGCGAGGGGCGAUCCCCCCCCGCGCAGCAGACCCCGAGCUGCCCAGGCCCUUCCUGCGCCACGUGUACCCAGAGCUCCGCCCGGGGGAGACUUCGCUGCUUGUUGGAGAUGCCCAGCGGUAGGGGGCGAGGACUCGGGAGGAAGAGAGCUGAAGGUGUUCCGUGGUCAGUGAGGGCUGGCACUGGCUCUGCACGAAGAUCUCCUCACCUCCCCAGCGGCUCCUGGCCAGCUCCCCACGGAGAGCCCAGGACACUUGUCCCUGGACACAGUGGUGCAGCCAUGCUUGGGCCAAACCAUGAGGCCACCAGAACCGCGAAAGGCUACUCUACUGAGAGGGAUACUGCGAGAGAGGCCCACGGGUUUCCAAGCAUCCCUCUCACUCCGCACACUCAUCUCCACGACCGGCUUUUAAGUGCGGCCUUGAGGCCUGGCUCCCUGUUUGGACUUCUCUGCACCUCCAGGAGCUCCCUUCCCGUCACAGCUGGAUGCCUCCUCCCGCAGGCACCUCCCCGGCAUCCUCCCGCCCCAGGCUGCACCUUCUGUGGGACUGGCCCCCGCAGGCACCUCCCCAGCAUCCUCCCGCCCCAGGCUGCACCUUCUGUGGGACUGAGCCCCGAAGGCACCUCCCCGGCAUCCUCCCGCCCCAGGCUGCAGCUUCUGUGGGACUGACCCCCGCAGGCACCUCCCCGGCAUCCUCCCGCCCCAGGCUGCAGCUUCUGUGGGACUGACCUUAAGACCCCAUCGGUUCCUCCUGAGAGCAGCAGAUCUCAGCCAGAUGCUGCCGGGAGGGAGGUGCUAGCGUCCACACCCAGACAGGGGUCCAGUCCAGCCCUGCUCUCCCUGGUCUCCAGGCAGGGCCCUCCCAGGGUGGACAUUGCCCAUCUCUGCCUGGCCAGGGGCUGCUGACCCACUGGUUCCAGAGUCUGAGCCUGUCCUGCACAAGUACCAUGGACAGGGGUCAGCCGGGCACUGAAGAGACGUGGCAGAAUUGGGCAGGGCAAGGGCCCCAGCUGGCAAGCUGGAGUCAGGGCAAUUCCAACCAAGAAACUGCGGCAGGCUGGGUGCAGUGUCUCAAGCCUAUAAUCCCAGCACUUUGGGAGGCAGUGGGAGAAUCGCUUGAGCCCGGGAGUUUGAGACCAGCAUUGGUAACACAGAGACACCCUAUCGCUACAAGAAAAAAAAAAAAAAAAAAGCUGGGCAUGGUGGUGCACACCUGUUGUCCCAGCUACUCAGGAGGCUGACGUGGGAGGAUUGCUUGUGCCCAGGGGUUGCAGGCUGCAGUGAGCUGUGAUCAUACCACUGCACUCCAGCCUGGGCGACAGAGAACCUCUCUAAAAAAAAAAGGAAAAUGAAAAAUAAAUGGGGGCAGAAGCUCCUCCAGGGCCCACCUGGCCUGCUGGGGACUCACUCCAAACCGCUUCAUUUUUGGAGGGGGCUUUCCAGGACUGAGAGGUGUCAGAGCUGCUGGUGACAGGAGCAGGGAAAGCACCAUCUGGCCGGCCCCCAGGGGCCCCAUGUAGGGUUCCUC
This 1567-nucleotide long non-coding RNA is filed under the name Pan troglodytes (chimpanzee). RNAcentral's name for it is "long non-coding RNA NONPTRT006961". The record is from RNAcentral. Lineage: Eukaryota; Metazoa; Chordata; Mammalia; Primates; Hominidae.